Molecule: ribosomal RNA, 461 nt
Filed under: uncultured bacterium
Lineage: Bacteria
Description: partial 16S ribosomal RNA
Rfam family: Bacterial small subunit ribosomal RNA
Source: RNAcentral
CCUACGGGUGGCUGCAGUGAGGAAUAUUGGUCAAUGGACGCAAGUCUGAACCAGCCAAGUAGCGUGCAGGAUGACGGCCCUCCGGGUUGUAAACUGCUUUUAGUUGGGAAUAAAAGGGGGCUCGUGAGCCCCGUAUUGUAUGUACUAUCUGAAAAAGGACCGGCUACUUCCGUGCCAGCAGCCGCGGUAAUACGGAGGGUCCGGGCGUUAUCCGGAUUUAUUGGGUUAAAAGGGAGCGUAGGCCGGCUUUUAAGUCAGCUGUGAAAGUCCGCGGCUCAACCGUGGAAUUGCAGUUGAAACUGUAGGCGUUGAGUGGAGACAGGGAUGCCGAAAGUCAUGGGGUAGCGGGGAAAUGCUUAGAUAUCAUGAAGAACUCCGAUCGCGAAGGCAAGUGUCCGGGGUGCAACUGACGCGGAGGCUGGAAAGUGCGGGUAUCAAACAGGAUUAGAUACCCUAGUAGC